AGUGAACGCUGGCGGCGUGCCUAAUACAUGCAAGUCGAACGGAGUGGCGCACGGGUGAGUAAUAUAUAGCUAAUCUGCCCCUUGCUGGAGGACAACAGUUAGAAAUGAUUGCUAAUACUCCAUAGCAAGGGAUGAGACUAAAUCGUAUCAGCUAGUAGGUGGGGUAACGGCCUACCGAGGCUAUGACGCGUAACUGGUCUGAGAGGAUGAUCAGUCACAUUGGAACUGAGACACAGUCCAACUACCUACGGGAGGCAGCAGUAAGGAAUAUUGCGGAAAGGGGGAAACCCUGACGCAGCAACGCCGCGUGGAGGAUGAUACUUUUCGGAGCGUAAACUCCUUUUGUUAGGUAAGCGGUACCUAACGAAUAAGCACGGGCUAACGCCGUGCCAGCAGCCGCGGAAAUAC
RNAcentral lists this ribosomal RNA (408 nucleotides) under uncultured bacterium. Its description in RNAcentral is "partial 16S ribosomal RNA". It matches the Rfam family "Bacterial small subunit ribosomal RNA", at positions 29 to 526 of the family's 1533-position model. The record is from RNAcentral.